RNAcentral lists this ribosomal RNA (793 nucleotides) under Erysiphe berchemiae. RNAcentral's name for it is "partial 28S ribosomal RNA". It matches the Rfam family "Eukaryotic large subunit ribosomal RNA", at positions 1 to 806 of the family's 3401-position model. The record is from RNAcentral. Lineage: Eukaryota; Fungi; Ascomycota; Leotiomycetes; Helotiales; Erysiphaceae.
UUGACCUCGAAUCAGGUAGGAAUACCCGCUGAACUUAAGCAUAUCAAUAAGCGGAGGAAAAGAAACCAACCGGGAUUACCUCAGUAACGGCGAGUGAAGCGGUAACAGCUCAAAUUUGAAAUCUGGCUCCUCUGGAGUCCGAGUUGUAAUUUGUAGAAGAUGCUUUGGGUUGUGGGUUCGGCCUAAGUUCCUUGGAACAGGACGUCAUAGAGGGUGAGAAUCCCGUAUGUGGCCGAGGCCCGCGCCUAUGUAAAGCUCUUUCAACGAGUCGAGUUGUUUGGGAAUGCAGCUCAAAAUGGGUGGUAAAUUUCAUCUAAAGCUAAAUAUGGGCCAGAGACCGAUAGCGCACAAGUAGAGUGAUCGAAAGAUGAAAAGCACUUUGGAAAGAGAGUUAAACAGUACGUGAAAUUGUUGAAAGGGAAGCGCUUGCACCCAGACUUGGGCGCUGCUGAUCACCUUGAGUUCUUCUCAAGUGCACUCGACAGCGCACAGGCCAGCAUCGGUUCGGGUGGCUGGAUAAAGGCCGUAGGAACGUAGCUCCCUUCGGGGAGUGUUAUAGCCUACGGUGCCAUGCAGCCCAGCCGGACCGAGGACCGCGCCUUCGGGCUAGGAUGCUGGCGUAAUGGGUGUAAGCGACCCGUCUUGAAACACGGACCAAGGAGUCUAACAUCUAUGCGAGUGUUUGGGUGGUAAACCCAUACGCGGAAUGAAAGUGAACGUAGGUGAGAACCCCUUUGGGGCGCAUCAUCGACCGAUCCUGAUGUCUUCGGAUGGAUUUGAGUAAGAGCAAUAC